Molecule: ribosomal RNA, 864 nt
Filed under: Procyttarium primordialis
Lineage: Eukaryota; Polycystinea; Collodaria; Collophidiidae
Description: SSU rRNA
Rfam family: Eukaryotic small subunit ribosomal RNA
Source: RNAcentral
CAUUUUAUGUGGUAUUAAUGAACUGCAAAGGAAUAUGAUUUAUCUUAUUUUAUAUUUUUGCACCUUUGGAAUUCGUUUUCUGAUAGUGGAAUAAGUUUGUGUUUACUUUGAGAAAAUUAGAGUGUUCAAAGCAGUCUUACGGCUUAAUAUUAAAGCAUGGAAUGAUAAAUAAUGACAUCGGUUAAUUUUUGUUGGUUUGAGAGGCUGAUGUAAUGAUUUAUAGAGUUAGUCGGAGGUAUUAGUAUUUUGUCGUUAGAAGUGAAAUUCCGGGAUCGACAAAAGACUAACAACUGCGAAAGUAUUUGCCUAGAAUUUGCUCCUUGAUCAAGAACGUAAGUUGGGGGAUCGAAGACGAUCAGAUACCGUCGUAGUCUCAACUUUAAACUAUAUCAGCUAGGGGUUGGCAAAUGUUUAUAUGACUUUGUUAGAACCUUAUGAGAAAUCAAAGCGUUUGGGUUCCGGGGGGAGUAUGGUCGCAAGGCUGAAACUUAAAGGAAUUGACGGAAGGGCACCACAAGAUGUGGAUCCUGUGGCUUAAUUUGACUCAACACUGGAAAACUCACCAGGUCCAGACAUAGGUAGGAUUGACAGAUUGAUAGCUUUUUCUUGAUUCUAUGGGUGGUGGUGCAUGGUCGUUCUUAGUUGGUGGAGUGAUUUGUCUGGUUAAUUCCGUUAACGAACGAGACUAUCACUUACUAAAUAGUACAUUUUUUUAAAUAGAAUAUUUGCUUCUUAGAGGGACUGGUUUUGUAUAAAUUGCUGGAAGUUGGUAGCAAUAACAGGUCUGUGAUGCCCUUAGAUGUUCUGGGCAGCGCACGGGCUACAAUAGAAGAGUAAGUGAGUUUGUUCGACUUAGCUCGAAAA